Molecule: unclassified non-coding RNA, 264 nt
Filed under: Hevea brasiliensis (rubber tree)
Lineage: Eukaryota; Viridiplantae; Streptophyta; Magnoliopsida; Malpighiales; Euphorbiaceae
Source: RNAcentral
UGUGUUUCUCUUCUAUUUCUACUUCCUCCGUGACAAUAACCACAGUGGUUGUAACUCAGAGAUUUUGCAGUCUUCUUGUGCUGUCAAGAAUGAUAACAAGUCUGGUGUUAGCACUUUCGAAAAUGUCUAGCGCUGGAAAAUGUCUAGCGCCUUCUUCUAAUGUUCUUUAGCGUGUGGGGUCCAUGUGAUCGUGUGUUUGUCGAGGAGGGAAAUAAUUUGGACAGUUACAUAUUUUUAAUAUUAAAAUUUUUAUAAAAUUAAAAU